GACGAACGCUGGCGGCGUGCUUAACACAUGCAAGUCGAACGGAAAGGCACUGCUUUUGUGGGGUGAUCGAGUGGCGAACGGGUGCGUAACACGUGAGUAACCUGCCCUUGAUUUUGGGAUAACUUCAGGAAACUGGGGCUAAUCUAGGAUAGGAGACCCCGUUGCAUGGUGGGGGUUGGAAAGUUUCGGCGGUUGGGGAUGGACUCGCGGCUUAUCAGCUAGUUGGUGGGGUAGUGGCUGACCAAGGCAUUGACGGGUAGCCGGCCUGAGAGGGUGACCGGCCACAUUAGGACUGAGAUACGGCCCAGUCGCCUACGUGAGGCAGCAGGGGGGAGUAUUGCACAGUGGGCGGAAGCCGGAGGCAGCAACGCCGCGUGCGGGAUGACGGCCUGCUGGUUGAAAACCGCUGUCGCCUGUGACGAAGCUGUAGUGACGGUAAUGGGUAAAGAAGCACCGGCCAACUACGUG
This 468-nucleotide ribosomal RNA is filed under the name uncultured bacterium. RNAcentral's name for it is "partial 16S ribosomal RNA". It matches the Rfam family "Bacterial small subunit ribosomal RNA", at positions 28 to 507 of the family's 1533-position model. The record is from RNAcentral.